CUGCAUGUAGUUCAACGGAUAGAACACCAGACUGCUAAUCUGGAGAUGUGGGUUCGAUUCUCACCAUGCGGU
RNAcentral lists this transfer RNA (72 nucleotides) under Bacteroidota bacterium. RNAcentral describes it as "Bacteroidetes bacterium (activated sludge metagenome) tRNA-Ser". It matches the Rfam family "tRNA". Rfam says of the family: Transfer RNA (tRNA) molecules are approximately 80 nucleotides in length. Their secondary structure includes four short double-helical elements and three loops (D, anti-codon, and T loops). Lineage: Bacteria; Pseudomonadati; Bacteroidota. RNAcentral also lists the same sequence under 1 other name. The record is from RNAcentral.